This 377-nucleotide unclassified non-coding RNA is filed under the name fungal sp. Its description in RNAcentral is "partial internal transcribed spacer region". The record is from RNAcentral. Lineage: Eukaryota; Fungi.
AAGUCGUAACAAGGUUUCCGUAGGUGAACCUGCAUUAACACGUAUCCAACGUUAAACCCCCUGUGAACCUUCAUUGUAUGAGUUACAUCCACGUCAGGUAAAUCAUCGCCGAACAGUUUUGAUUCAGAGACCUCUGGGAAGGGUGUACGGUAGUGCGAGGCAAUUGACCUGGCAUUCCUCUGCUUGUUAGUGUCUGAAAGUGUCACUAGCUAUGUACGGAUGGCGCAGUAACGAUCGCUGGAGGCCGACACGGCCGGCGACCAGGUCACUGGGCUACGGCCCCCCUGAUCACAACCUUUGCAUGAAAACGGGCCUGCGCUGAGGUGCGGCCACCCCUAAUGCUUGAACAACUGUUAACAAUGGAUAUCUUGGUUCUC